GAUGAACGCUGGCGGCGUGCCUAAUACAUGCAAGUCGAGCGAACAGACGAGGAGCUUGCUCCUCUGACGUUAGCGGAGGACGGGUGAGUAACACGUGGAUAACCUACCUAUAAGACGGGGAAAACUUCGGGAAACCGGAGCUAAUACCGGAGAAUCUAUUGAACCGCGUGGGUCAAUAGUGAAAGACGGUGUUGCUGUCACUAAUAGAGGGAUACGCGCCGGAUUAGCUAGUUGUGAAGGUAAAGGCUUACCACGGGGACGAUGCGUAGCCGAGCUGUGAGGGUGAUCGGCCACACUGGAGCUGGGACACCGUCCAGACUCCUACGGGAGGCAGCAGUAGGGAAUCUUCCGCAAUGGGCGAAAGCCUGACGGAGCAGCGCCGCGUGAGUGAUGAAGGUCUUCGGAUCGUAAAACUCUGUUAUUAGUUAAGAACAAAUGUGUAAGUAACUAUGCACGUCUUGACGGUACCUAAUCAGAAAGCCACGGCUAACUACGUG
Molecule: ribosomal RNA, 497 nt
Filed under: uncultured bacterium
Lineage: Bacteria
Description: partial 16S ribosomal RNA
Rfam family: Bacterial small subunit ribosomal RNA
Source: RNAcentral